GUGCUCACUUCAGUAGCGCAUCUACUACAACUGGAAUAAUACAAAGAUUAGUGUGGCCCCUGAGCGAAGAUGACAAACUCGUGAAGCAUUCCGAAUUUUU
Molecule: small nuclear RNA, 100 nt
Filed under: Zalophus californianus (California sea lion)
Lineage: Eukaryota; Metazoa; Chordata; Mammalia; Carnivora; Otariidae
Also listed under: 1 other name
Source: RNAcentral